This 635-nucleotide ribosomal RNA is filed under the name uncultured Marinobacter sp. Its description in RNAcentral is "bacterial SSU rRNA". It matches the Rfam family "Bacterial small subunit ribosomal RNA", at positions 870 to 1504 of the family's 1533-position model. The record is from RNAcentral. Lineage: Bacteria; Pseudomonadati; Pseudomonadota; Gammaproteobacteria; Pseudomonadales; Marinobacteraceae.
CGCCUGGGGAGUACGGCCGCAAGGUUAAAACUCAAAUGAAUUGACGGGGGCCCGCACAAGCGGUGGAGCAUGUGGUUUAAUUCGACGCAACGCGAAGAACCUUACCUGGCCUUGACAUCCAGAGAACUUUCCAGAGAUGGAUUGGUGCCUUCGGGAACUCUGAGACAGGUGCUGCAUGGCCGUCGUCAGCUCGUGUCGUGAGAUGUUGGGUUAAGUCCCGUAACGAGCGCAACCCCUAUCCCUGGUUGCUAGCAGGUAAUGCUGAGAACUCCAGGGAGACUGCCGGUGACAAACCGGAGGAAGGUGGGGAUGACGUCAGGUCAUCAUGGCCCUUACGGCCAGGGCUACACACGUGCUACAAUGGCGCGUACAGAGGGCUGCCAACUCGCGAGAGUGAGCCAAUCCCUUAAAACGCGUCGUAGUCCGGAUCGGAGUCUGCAACUCGACUCCGUGAAGUCGGAAUCGCUAGUAAUCGCGAAUCAGAGUGUCGCGGUGAAUACGUUCCCGGGCCUUGUACACACCGCCCGUCACACCAUGGGAGUGGAUUGCACCAGAAGUAGUUAGUCUAACCUUCGGGAGGACGAUUACCACGGUGUGGUUCAUGACUGGGGUGAAGUCGUAACAAGGUAACCGUA